GGACUACUGGGGUAUCUAAUCCCGUUUGCUCCCCUGGCUUUCGCGCCUCAGCGUCAGAAAAGGUCCAGCAGCUCGCUUUCGCCACCGGCGUUCCUUCCGAUAUCAACGCAUUUCACCGCUCCACCGGAAGUUCCAGCUGCCCCUACCUCGCUCGAGACCCACAGUAUCCGAGGCUAUUUUCCGGUUAAGCCGAAAGAUUUCACCCCGGACUUGAGGGCCCGCCUACGCGCCCUUUAAGCCCAGUGAUUCCGAACAACGUUCGCACGGUUCGUCUUACCGCGGCUGCUGGCAC
Molecule: ribosomal RNA, 292 nt
Filed under: uncultured Planctomycetota bacterium
Lineage: Bacteria; Pseudomonadati; Planctomycetota
Description: uncultured planctomycete partial 16S ribosomal RNA
Source: RNAcentral